RNAcentral lists this non-coding RNA (92 nucleotides) under Lacicoccus alkaliphilus. Its description in RNAcentral is "Salinicoccus alkaliphilus TPP sequence". It matches the Rfam family "TPP riboswitch aptamer (THI element)". From Rfam's summary of the family: Vitamin B(1) in its active form thiamin pyrophosphate (TPP) is an essential coenzyme that is synthesised by coupling of pyrimidine and thiazole moieties in bacteria. RNAcentral also lists the same sequence under 1 other name. The record is from RNAcentral. Lineage: Bacteria; Bacillati; Bacillota; Bacilli; Caryophanales; Salinicoccaceae.
UGUUUCAGCUGGGGGCAGCCUUUACGGCUUGAGAAGUACCCUUUGAACCUGAUCUGGUUAAUACCAGCGGAGGGAAGUGGAAAUCGCCGAUU